GCUUUCGAAAUUAGGACAAGGGAUGCAUGAAAUCAGGCUGAGCACUACAGGUCACUCCCCCCCCGCAUCAAACUACUGACUUUAUUUUACAGCCCUAAUACUAAACUGUUGCCUGUGGGAAAUGCAGGUGUGGCUGUUAACAAGCUUCUCCUUGUGAUUCUGGCAAUAAUGAAAACUACCUGUACUUCAAAAUCUGCCAUUACAGCUGGUUGCCAUCAAGAGAAGAGAAAGUGGCAGGAGAAGGACUGAGGGCACAGAAGAAAGAAUCAAAAGAAAAAAAAUCCUGUUAGGGGCGAGAGGAAAAUACAUCCUCUUCCCAACUAGCCUCAUCAUGGGAUUGGAUGAAGAAAGAGGACACUGUAAGACAUACCAGCAUUCUUCUAUGGAUUUCUGGAGCUUCUCUACAGAAUAUGAAAGACCAUGCCCUUCAUCCUGAAAGACUGGAGAUCCUGAAAACAAUUAUGUGAAUCUGUCCCACCAAAAUCAAUAAAACAUAUACAUAUAUAACUGGAUACAGAACUGAUGCUAUUCUAUAACAAUUGUAGAGAUGAUUUGUGUUACGAAACAGCAAUUACUCCCACAUCAAUACUGGUUAUUGAAUUUUUCUGUAUGUAGAUAAAAUAUGCUUUGGAUAGACAACUAUCACAUCAAAUUUCAUAAUGUGGCUGUACCCACUGCAUAAGCAUGCACUAAACUGAAUGAGCUGAUGAUAAGUAUUUGCAGCAGACUGUUUAUUCAGAGGCUUAACAUUUAUAUAACUUUUAAAGCAAAUCUAACCAGUACUAAAAAUGGUAAAGGAUUAGUGAAAGACCUUAGCUCAGUGUCAGCACACAUACUUUCCAUGUAGAUGGUCCCAAUGUGCUAUCCUGUCUACCAGUAUGAGAAUGGAUGGUAAAAUUAUGGAUCUCUCCCAGUUCAUAUUGAUAAAUAGCCAGCCUCAAGGACAUGGAGAAUAACCUCGUUUAUGAAGAUUCCACCUGCUGAGCAGCUUGGACUUUUAUUUAAAGCAUAGCAAGAAAUCUCUUACUACCCUUAGUUUCAGCAGAGAUAUUUAUAGCUCUCACUGUGCAACCUCACUGGCAACACUGAGUCCUCCUAGGUAGUCGAGUGCACCUCCUGGAGUGCUUAAAUCCCCAUUGUAGUCAGUGUUAUUUAAUGCUAGAAUAGCUGAGUUGAAUAUUCUAAUUGCCAGUAGAGCUUUAAAUAAUGAGCUGGAAAGCUUGGCACUGAAAAUCCAAGACAGGCCACAACAUGGUCUUUGACUGUGUUCCAGCUGCUCUCAGUAAAUCUCCUUUCAUUUAUAAUUUACUGUUUUAUAGGUCUUUGCACCAACUAAGAGGGUAAAGUAUCGACAUUAACUUUAACUGGAGAAAGAUCACCAAUUCAUUCAAGACAUAGUAGGUCACUAAUCACUAUUCGUGCCUUUCAUCACCAAGGUACACAGUACCCUCCUGUGCUGGCAUAUGACUAAGAAUGCUGAUUUUCUAAUUGAAUUUUAGCUUGUUUCUUUGGUUAAAAGGAUGGCACAUGAUCCCAACUAUAAACGAUACUGGUUUAAUCAAUUAUUUUGUUUUUGAACACCAUCCACACCAACAAACUGUGACAAAAUUCAUUGCAUUCAAGUUACAGUAUUUGGAAUACAAUUCAAAUAGAAGUUGAGUGUUUCAUGAUCCAAUGCUUUGAAACAUGCCAUAACUUGUAGCACAUACAGACCUCCUUUGCCAAGAGAGAUUUCUUCAUAAUUCGUAGCAGGAGGCAAAAGAUGCCACAUGCAACAGAUAGAUGGGGUAACAGAUGUACCAUCUUCACUGAAAUGAAAGUAAUAAGUUUAUAGGAUCUGCACAUGGAGUUGGCCUUUCUUGUUCCAUGAGUCUU
This is a long non-coding RNA of Sceloporus undulatus (fence lizard), 1875 nucleotides long. RefSeq lists it as uncharacterized. The record is from RefSeq and is a predicted model, not a curated record. NCBI's taxonomy places the organism in Eukaryota, Metazoa, Chordata, Lepidosauria, Squamata, Phrynosomatidae. The transcript has 4 exons.